This is a long non-coding RNA of Cygnus olor (mute swan), 1159 nucleotides long. RefSeq lists it as uncharacterized. Lineage: Eukaryota; Metazoa; Chordata; Aves; Anseriformes; Anatidae. The transcript has 3 exons. The record is from RefSeq and is a predicted model, not a curated record.
UGCAGUAGUAGCAGGGCUGAGCAUUUAUUCCCUGGAGGUAUACAUUCAUAUACAUACACAUACAUAUACAUAUACAGCCCCAGACCUGCCUCCACUUAUGGAUCUUCCUGAUCCUGACUGUGACCUACAAACCGAGGUCCUGUCUUGACUUUGGGCCUACCAUAUCAACAUGAGCUUGCCUGAUGAUCUGGAGUCGUGGUUGGACCUGGCUUGUUAGCUUGUCUCUGCAGGAGAUGAUCACUGGACUGUCUUUGGGACUUACUUUCACCAUCCUGCUUGCCUGCCUCUGAUGGAGGGGCAGGCCCUGGCUCAUUAGGCCCCUGACAUGUUACCACAGUCAGCUCCCCAACCCCUGGGGAGCAACCAGCCAUCACUGCUCCUCGACACUCUGGGUCAUCUUACAGACUGAGGAGGGCUACUGCCUACAGGGGAAUGGGUUUCAUAUGGGAUACUUGUUAUGGGAUAUUUAAGGGAGAAGGUAAAGAUGGGGAAAGGGGAGAAACCAGAUGGUUUGGGGAGAAACAAGUAUGGGAAAAUAGAAGGAAAGGGGAUAAAAUGUACCAGUCACAUGUGAUCAGGUUGCUGUUCAGGAGUGAUAACUGAAUGUGAUGACUGCAGUCUGUUCUGUCUUAUUACAUACAGCGUGUGUGCAUGUGUGUUUGUCACCAUAGCAGCCUCCAAUCUAUAGGGUUGGGCCAGGACUGCCCCAGGACUCAAGGCAUGCUGGAUUUAGUAGCCUUCUGAAAGCAAGGAUGGCAUGCCCAGAAAGCCCUGUUUUGAUGGCUAGAUCUAAUACAAAUAAAUCAAUCAAUAAAUAAGUGGCAGGCAAAAGAAAGUGAGACACCUAAGGGACACGUGAGCAAUUUUUGUGCUGUAGCUACUACUGCAGUUUAAGACAUUCAGAUUAAUAAAGUUUUGUAUGGAAUAGCCCCUGCUUGCUUUGAUUUACCACUGGUAUUUGAUAGCAAGAAAUACUUCCACUUCAUCCAGGAUGGACCUUAAUCAGCCUUGUUUCUGCCAUUCCAAAGUCUCAGAUAGCCAAGAAGAAAGUAUUGAGUUGUAGUUGUUGAAAGUAGGAGGUGAAAUGUGACAUUAACAUGCCAACAUUACCUUACUUCAUAGCAACAUAAAUCCCUACAUAGAAGACUACCACACGUCA